Molecule: ribosomal RNA, 433 nt
Filed under: uncultured bacterium
Lineage: Bacteria
Description: partial 16S ribosomal RNA
Rfam family: Bacterial small subunit ribosomal RNA
Source: RNAcentral
AACGAACGCUGGCGGCAUGCCUAACACAUGCAAGUCGAACGAGACCUUCGGGUCUAGUGGCGCACGGGUGCGUAACGCGUGGGAACCUGCCCUUAGGUUCGGAAUAACUCCCCGAAAGGGGUGCUAAUACCGGAUAAUGUCUUCGGACCAAAGAUUUAUCGCCUUUGGAUGGGCCCGCGUUGGAUUAGCUAGUUGGUAGGGUAAAAGCCUACCAAGGCGACGAUCCAUAGCUGGUCUGAGAGGAUGAUCAGCCACACUGGGACUGAGACACGGCCCAGACUCCUACGGGAGGCAGCAGUGGGGAAUAUUGUACAAUGGGCGAAAGCCUGAUCCAGCAAUGCCGCGUGAGUGAUGAAGGCCUUAGGGUUGUAAAGCUCUUUUACCCGGGAUGAUAAUGACGGUACCGGGAGAAUAAGCACCGGCUAACUCCGUG